Lycium barbarum (goji berry) is the source of this 2519-nucleotide long non-coding RNA. RefSeq lists it as uncharacterized. The record is from RefSeq and is a predicted model, not a curated record. The transcript is spliced from 3 exons. Lineage: Eukaryota; Viridiplantae; Streptophyta; Magnoliopsida; Solanales; Solanaceae.
CUCACGUUUUGCAAUAUCCCCCAUAAUUUUAGUAUACCAUAAUUUAUAUAGCAGCCCUUUAUUGAGGCUAUAUAUAUUCUUUCUAAGGCAUUUAUUAGAUGAAGACUUUACAUCAACUUUUUAAUUGUGGGAAGGCCAUACACGUAUUGGUAAUCAUCCUAAUUGGAGAAAUUCCAUACAAGGAAAUUGGCAGUAACGUUUGAGGAAAAAAAAAAUUUACGCUGAAGCAAAAAUGCGAAGAACGACAUAAGGUGGAAGCGUCGGUUUUCUCCGGGUAAUAGCAAAUCAGAAAUUUCUUCAAAGCAAAGUAAGGUGGAAGAAGAUUAUUUUUUUGCCAUAUUAGGCUAAAAGAGCGACGAGACGAACGGGUUACGAAUAGCCGCUAACAGGUACAGAUGCACAGUUUGGUGAUCCACCAGUUUAGGACACCCUCUUCUGCCGUUUGGAGUGCUCCUCUUAUUCCGGAGCCUACAUUUUGGUAUAUAUACUUGUUUGAUGCAUAUGUAUAUAUUUGUUCUGGGGUACGGCGGGGCACUGUUCCGCCAUAUGAUCCGUUUGGUCUAUUUAGAGGUCUGUAGACGUAUUUGUGGGUGUGUGUGCCUACUUCUGUACAAAUGUGUUUGUAUGACCCUGUUCGUUAUGGCAGCCUAGUCGGCGUGCACUUUGUAUAUGUUUUGGGCCGUUGCGCCAUCUGUUAGCCUUGUCGGCUUUUGAUACAUCUGUUAGCCUUGUCGGCUUUUGAUACUUUUGAUAGCCUUGUCGGCUUUUGAUACAUUUGAUAGCCUUGCCGGCUUUUCGAUAUAAGUAUAUGUAUAUGUUUGCGCUGAAAUGUGUCCGAUACAGUUUGACAUAGUUUGAGACGGCAUAUAGUGUUUAUGGCCGUAUAUGCUAUUUGGAUGUGAUCAGAUAUGGAUAGGUAUGUCAGGGUGCCCAAGUAGGGCGCCAGUCACGGCCUACGGGGUUGGGUCGUGACAGAAGUGGUAUCAGAGCGGUUUGUCCUCGGAAUGUCUACAGGCCGUGUCUAGUAGAGUCUUGUUUAUCGGUGUGUGGUGCACCACAUCUAUAAACAGGAGGCUACAGGACAUUUAGGAUGUUACCUUUCUUUCAUAUCUCAGAUCGUGCGAUAGAGCCCAGCCAUAGGAAAUGAAAUUCCUUUUACUAACCUUUAAUUUCAGCUGAAGAACGACAUCUACGGAAGAAGUGACCGACGACAUUGGAAACUACACAUUACGCAGGUAAGCAAUGGUGCGAAAGAGGCAUGUCGGAUAAGGUAAGAAUAUUGGAAUAUGAUUGAAAUGUAAAGUUGAAGGAUGAAAAGAAUGUGGACAGGAAGGUAUAAUAUGACAGAUCGUUAAAGGAUCAUGUACGCCUCAAGGUGUAAUAUGUGAGGUAAGUCCCGAUACCCUUAUACGUGUUCUGGAAAUUGGGAGCCCUGUGUGGCUAUGGUAUGAUACGAUAUAUGCGUAUAUGUGUUGGCCCUGUGAGGCAUUGUUGGUAUUUCCUGCGUGCAGGUUUUGAGAUAAAAAGAAAUACAGAGAAAAGUCGGUCAAAAUUUUCCUAGAAAUUAAUUACGGGGGUGAAUGAUUAUGAUUGGAUUAUUAUGAAAGAAAGGAAGUGGAAAAAUGUUGCAAACCAUGUCAGACUUAAUACCAUUAUUGAGCAAGAAAAAGGAUAGAUGAGUCCGAGUUUCAAGAAGGAUCAUAUCAAGAAAGUGAUUCACUUAUAUCUUUUGAAAGGAUAUUCCUGAGGAAUCAAGGGAGUAUUGCGACCAAAAGUCAUUACUAAGAAGGAAACUCGUUUUCAACUAUUUAAAAGAAAUGUUAUUAAUAGAUGUCAAGUGGAGAAUGACAUUAGGCUAAAUAAAGAGAGGUACAUCGUGAUAGAUAAGUUCGAGUUACAAUUGAUUUGUUAUGAGAUCACCAUAACCGGUAUGCUUAUACGCGACUAGUUUAACAUUCGAGGACGAAUGUUCUAAAGGGGGGAAGGAUGUUGCAUCCCGCAUUUUUCACAAGUUGGAAAGCGUACGAGUUCAAUGACAUUAGUAACGGAAUAAGUUUGAUGAAUUUUGAAACUGUUAUAUAUGGUCUUGAUAUGGUAUUUUCUUUUAAGUAAACCCCUUUUAGUAGAUAUUUGAUAAGCAUGAUUUUCUAUAGUUAUUACUGUUACUACUUCUGUGAUACAUUUUUAAUUAUGUGUGCGGUAUGAGGACAUUUAGAAAAUGAGAUUUUAUUUGUUAUGGGUACAUAAAUUAUUUUCUCUUAUGAAAAGCUAUCUUUUUCCAUUAUGAGAAUUGAUAGUACAAUAAUUUGUACUCUUGAUGUUAGGUUGAGGAAAGAUUAUCAUUUGACGAACAUGAUUUCUAGAUGUAUUAGUUUUUGUGAAAUACGUGUAUGUCUUAAGUUGAUAUGAUAUUUCAAUAACAAAAGUUUUGGAAGCUUAUGUAUUUCAAAGAAAUAUUAAAAUAUUAGUGUAUGAGAUUAUAUCUUAUGAUUUUACUUUUUAUAUUAAAAUAAUUGGAG